RNAcentral lists this ribosomal RNA (467 nucleotides) under uncultured bacterium. RNAcentral describes it as "partial 16S ribosomal RNA". It matches the Rfam family "Bacterial small subunit ribosomal RNA", at positions 28 to 507 of the family's 1533-position model. The record is from RNAcentral.
GAUGAACGCUGACAGAAUGCUUAACACAUGCAAGUCAACUUGAAUUUGGGUUUUUAACUUAGGUUUGGGUGGCGGACGGGUGAGUAACGCGUAAAGAACUUGCCUCACAGCUAGGGACAACAUUUGGAAACGAAUGCUAAUACCUAAUAUUAUGAUAAUAGGGCAUCCUAUAAUUAUGAAAGCUAUAAGCGCUGUGAGAGAGCUUUGCGUCCCAUUAGCUAGUUGGAGAGGUAACGGCUCACCAAGGCGAUGAUGGGUAGCCGGCCUGAGAGGGUGAUCGACCACAAGGGGACUGAGACACGGCCCUUACUCCUACGGGAGGCAGCAGUGGGGAAUAUUGGACAAUGGACCGAGAGUCUGAUCCAGCAAUUCUGUGUGCACGAUGAAGUUUUUCGGAAUGUAAAGUGCUUUCAGUUGGGAAGAAACAAAUGACGGUACCAACAGAAGAAGUGACGGCUAAAUACGUG